Molecule: ribosomal RNA, 2925 nt
Filed under: Escherichia coli
Lineage: Bacteria; Pseudomonadati; Pseudomonadota; Gammaproteobacteria; Enterobacterales; Enterobacteriaceae
Description: 23S ribosomal RNA
Rfam family: Bacterial large subunit ribosomal RNA
Source: RNAcentral
GGGUUGUGAGGUUAAGCGACUAAGCGUACACGGUGGAUGCCCUGGCAGUCAGAGGCGAUGAAGGACGUGCUAAUCUGCGAUAAGCGUCGGUAAGGUGAUAUGAACCGUUAUAACCGGCGAUUUCCGAAUGGGGAAACCCAGUGUGUUUCGACACACUAUCAUUAACUGAAUCCAUAGGUUAAUGAGGCGAACCGGGGGAACUGAAACAUCUAAGUACCCCGAGGAAAAGAAAUCAACCGAGAUUCCCCCAGUAGCGGCGAGCGAACGGGGAGCAGCCCAGAGCCUGAAUCAGUGUGUGUGUUAGUGGAAGCGUCUGGAAAGGCGCGCGAUACAGGGUGACAGCCCCGUACACAAAAAUGCACAUACUGUGAGCUCGAUGAGUAGGGCGGGACACGUGGUAUCCUGUCUGAAUAUGGGGGGACCAUCCUCCAAGGCUAAAUACUCCUGACUGACCGAUAGUGAACCAGUACCGUGAGGGAAAGGCGAAAAGAACCCCGGCGAGGGGAGUGAAAAAGAACCUGAAACCGUGUACGUACAAGCAGUGGGAGCACGCUUAGGCGUGUGACUGCGUACCUUUUGUAUAAUGGGUCAGCGACUUAUAUUCUGUAGCAAGGUUAACCGAAUAGGGGAGCCGAAGGGAAACCGAGUCUUAACUGGGCGUUAAGUUGCAGGGUAUAGACCCGAAACCCGGUGAUCUAGCCAUGGGCAGGUUGAAGGUUGGGUAACACUAACUGGAGGACCGAACCGACUAAUGUUGAAAAAUUAGCGGAUGACUUGUGGCUGGGGGUGAAAGGCCAAUCAAACCGGGAGAUAGCUGGUUCUCCCCGAAAGCUAUUUAGGUAGCGCCUCGUGAAUUCAUCUCCGGGGGUAGAGCACUGUUUCGGCAAGGGGGUCAUCCCGACUUACCAACCCGAUGCAAACUGCGAAUACCGGAGAAUGUUAUCACGGGAGACACACGGCGGGUGCUAACGUCCGUCGUGAAGAGGGAAACAACCCAGACCGCCAGCUAAGGUCCCAAAGUCAUGGUUAAGUGGGAAACGAUGUGGGAAGGCCCAGACAGCCAGGAUGUUGGCUUAGAAGCAGCCAUCAUUUAAAGAAAGCGUAAUAGCUCACUGGUCGAGUCGGCCUGCGCGGAAGAUGUAACGGGGCUAAACCAUGCACCGAAGCUGCGGCAGCGACGCUUAUGCGUUGUUGGGUAGGGGAGCGUUCUGUAAGCCUGCGAAGGUGUGCUGUGAGGCAUGCUGGAGGUAUCAGAAGUGCGAAUGCUGACAUAAGUAACGAUAAAGCGGGUGAAAAGCCCGCUCGCCGGAAGACCAAGGGUUCCUGUCCAACGUUAAUCGGGGCAGGGUGAGUCGACCCCUAAGGCGAGGCCGAAAGGCGUAGUCGAUGGGAAACAGGUUAAUAUUCCUGUACUUGGUGUUACUGCGAAGGGGGGACGGAGAAGGCUAUGUUGGCCGGGCGACGGUUGUCCCGGUUUAAGCGUGUAGGCUGGUUUUCCAGGCAAAUCCGGAAAAUCAAGGCUGAGGCGUGAUGACGAGGCACUACGGUGCUGAAGCAACAAAUGCCCUGCUUCCAGGAAAAGCCUCUAAGCAUCAGGUAACAUCAAAUCGUACCCCAAACCGACACAGGUGGUCAGGUAGAGAAUACCAAGGCGCUUGAGAGAACUCGGGUGAAGGAACUAGGCAAAAUGGUGCCGUAACUUCGGGAGAAGGCACGCUGAUAUGUAGGUGAAGUCCCUCGCGGAUGGAGCUGAAAUCAGUCGAAGAUACCAGCUGGCUGCAACUGUUUAUUAAAAACACAGCACUGUGCAAACACGAAAGUGGACGUAUACGGUGUGACGCCUGCCCGGUGCCGGAAGGUUAAUUGAUGGGGUUAGCGCAAGCGAAGCUCUUGAUCGAAGCCCCGGUAAACGGCGGCCGUAACUAUAACGGUCCUAAGGUAGCGAAAUUCCUUGUCGGGUAAGUUCCGACCUGCACGAAUGGCGUAAUGAUGGCCAGGCUGUCUCCACCCGAGACUCAGUGAAAUUGAACUCGCUGUGAAGAUGCAGUGUACCCGCGGCAAGACGGAAAGACCCCGUGAACCUUUACUAUAGCUUGACACUGAACAUUGAGCCUUGAUGUGUAGGAUAGGUGGGAGGCUUUGAAGUGUGGACGCCAGUCUGCAUGGAGCCGACCUUGAAAUACCACCCUUUAAUGUUUGAUGUUCUAACGUGGACCCGUAAUCCGGGUUGCGGACAGUGUCUGGUGGGUAGUUUGACUGGGGCGGUCUCCUCCUAAAGAGUAACGGAGGAGCACGAAGGUUGGCUAAUCCUGGUCGGACAUCAGGAGGUUAGUGCAAUGGCAUAAGCCAGCUUGACUGCGAGCGUGACGGCGCGAGCAGGUGCGAAAGCAGGUCAUAGUGAUCCGGUGGUUCUGAAUGGAAGGGCCAUCGCUCAACGGAUAAAAGGUACUCCGGGGAUAACAGGCUGAUACCGCCCAAGAGUUCAUAUCGACGGCGGUGUUUGGCACCUCGAUGUCGGCUCAUCACAUCCUGGGGCUGAAGUAGGUCCCAAGGGUAUGGCUGUUCGCCAUUUAAAGUGGUACGCGAGCUGGGUUUAGAACGUCGUGAGACAGUUCGGUCCCUAUCUGCCGUGGGCGCUGGAGAACUGAGGGGGGCUGCUCCUAGUACGAGAGGACCGGAGUGGACGCAUCACUGGUGUUCGGGUUGUCAUGCCAAUGGCACUGCCCGGUAGCUAAAUGCGGAAGAGAUAAGUGCUGAAAGCAUCUAAGCACGAAACUUGCCCCGAGAUGAGUUCUCCCUGACUCCUUGAGAGUCCUGAAGGAACGUUGAAGACGACGACGUUGAUAGGCCGGGUGUGUAAGCGCAGCGAUGCGUUGAGCUAACCGGUACUAAUGAACCGUGAGGCUUAACCUUACAACGCCGAAG